Molecule: ribosomal RNA, 434 nt
Filed under: uncultured Ruminococcus sp.
Lineage: Bacteria; Bacillati; Bacillota; Clostridia; Eubacteriales; Oscillospiraceae
Description: partial 16S ribosomal RNA
Rfam family: Bacterial small subunit ribosomal RNA
Source: RNAcentral
ACGGGAGGCAGCAGUGGGGGAUAUUGCACAAUGGGGGAAACCCUGAUGCAGCGACGCCGCGUGGGUGAAGAAGUUUUUCGGAAUGUAAAGCCCUAUCAGCAGGGAUGAUAAUGACAGUACCUGACUAAGAAGCCCCGGCUAACUACGUGCCAGCAGCCGCGGUAAUACGUAGGGGGCAAGCGUUAUCCGGAAUUACUGGGUGUAAAGGGAGUGUAGGCGGGACUGUAAGUCAGAUGUGAAAUAUACCGGCUCAACUGGUAGACUGCAUUUGAAACUGCGGUUCUUGAGUGAAGUAGAGGUAAGCGGAAUUCCUAGUGUAGCGGUGAAAUGCGUAGAUAUUAGGAGGAACAUCAGUGGCGAAGGCGGCUUACUGGGCUUUAACUGACGCUGAGGCUCGAAAGCGUGGGGAGCAAACAGGAUUAGAUACCCUGGUA